ACACGUGGAUAACCUGCCCUUGGGACCGGCAUAACCCCGGGAAACUGGGGAUAAUUCCGGAUACCGCAUAUAUGCUGGAAUGCUUUAUGCGUGAAAUGGAUUCGUCUGCCCAAGGAUGGGUCUGCGGCCUAUCAGGUAGUAGUGGGUGUAAUGUACCUACUAGCCAACGACGGGUACGGGUUGUGAGAGCAAGAGCCCGGAGAUGGAUUCUGAGACAUGAAUCCAGGCCCUACGGGGCGCAGCAGGCGCGAAAACUUUACAAUGCGGGAAACCGUGAUAAGGGGACACCGAGUGCCAGCAACAUUUGUUGGCUGUCCAGGUGUGUAAACUACACCUGUUAGCAAGGGCCGGGCAAGACCGGUGCCAGCCGCCGCGGUAACACCGGCGGCCCGAGUGGUGAUCGUGAUUAUUGGGUCUAAAGGGUCCGUAGCCGGUUUGGUCAGUCCUCCGGGAAAUCUGACGGCUUAACCGUUAGGCUUUCGGGGGAUACUGCCAGGCUUGGAACCGGGAGAGGUAGGAGGUACUACAGGGGUAGGAGUGAAAUCUUG
This 548-nucleotide ribosomal RNA is filed under the name uncultured archaeon. Its description in RNAcentral is "bacterial SSU rRNA". It matches the Rfam family "Archaeal small subunit ribosomal RNA", at positions 96 to 642 of the family's 1478-position model. The record is from RNAcentral.